UGGGGGAUAUUGCACAAUGGGCGAAAGCCUGAUGCAGCGACGCCGCGUGGGGGAUGAAGGCCUUCGGGUUGUAAACUUCUUUUGCUCUGAACAAGGCAUGCUAAUGGGUGUGUUGAGUGUAGGGGUUGAUUAGCGCCGGCUAACUACGUGCCAGCAGCCGCGGUAAUACGUAGGGCGCGAGCGUUGUCCGGAAUUAUUGGGCGUACAGGGCUUGUAGGUGGCUGGUUGCGUCUGUCGUGAAAGCUCAUGGCUUAACUGUGGGUUUGCGGUGGGUACGGGCUGGCUUGAGUGCAGUAGGGGAGGCUGGAAUUCCUGGUGUAGCGGUGGAAUGCGCAGAUAUCAGGAGGAAUACCGGUGGCGAAGGCGGGUCGCUGGGCUGUUACUGACACUGAGGAGCGAAAGCAUGGGGAGCGAACAGG
This 419-nucleotide ribosomal RNA is filed under the name bacterium. Its description in RNAcentral is "partial 16S ribosomal RNA". It matches the Rfam family "Bacterial small subunit ribosomal RNA", at positions 355 to 776 of the family's 1533-position model. The record is from RNAcentral.